RNAcentral lists this long non-coding RNA (349 nucleotides) under Homo sapiens (human). RNAcentral's name for it is "non-protein coding lnc-SH2D1B-5:1". Lineage: Eukaryota; Metazoa; Chordata; Mammalia; Primates; Hominidae. The record is from RNAcentral.
CCACAAUUUUGAGACUACAGUGAGUUAUGAUUGAGCCACUGCACCCCAGCCUGGGCAACAGGGUGAGAACCUGUCUCCAAUUAAAAAAAAAAAAAAGUGAGGAAUUUAUUUUAAAAAAUAAAAUAAAAUAAUAAAAUCUGAGAUUUGUGGGAAGGAUCAUUUCCUGGGAAGUGGAAUCACUGAGAGAGAAAUUGAAGAACUGAUGUGGAAAAGAUGAGUCAUGAAGCUACAAGGAUAGACUUUUUGUUCUUAUGGUGUCCUAACUUUGUUGAUAAUUUGGAAAACACUGUUCACAUAAACAUAUUGUCACCACUGACUCACUGAGUUUUUUGGCAAGCCUUUUAGACCU